UACGGAGGGUGCGAGCGUUGUCCGGAAUCACUGGGCGUAAAGGGCGCGUAGGCGGCAUGCCAAGCGUGUGGUGAAAGCUCGGGGCUCAACCCCGAGUCGGCCGUGCGAACUGCUGGGCUCGAGCACUGUAGAGGCAGGCGGAAUUCCGGGUGUAGCGGUGGAAUGCGUAGAGAUCCGGAAGAACACCGGUGGCGAAGGCGGCCUGCUGGGCAGUGGCUGACACUGAGGCGCGACAGCGUGGGGAGCAAACAGG
This 253-nucleotide ribosomal RNA is filed under the name uncultured bacterium. RNAcentral's name for it is "partial 16S ribosomal RNA". It matches the Rfam family "Bacterial small subunit ribosomal RNA", at positions 524 to 776 of the family's 1533-position model. The record is from RNAcentral.